Capsicum annuum is the source of this 107-nucleotide non-coding RNA. NCBI's taxonomy places the organism in Eukaryota, Viridiplantae, Streptophyta, Magnoliopsida, Solanales, Solanaceae. The record is from Rfam.
UGAUGAUGGUGAGGAAAAUUUAUGAGCAUACCCUUAAACCUUUCCUAAGAUUGGUAAAGAUUUUCUCCUUCUUUCUAUCUAAAACUUAGAAUCUUGCUUCUCAAACG